GGUCUGAUAGCCGAGCGGGCUAAGGCACCAGUCCUUUUUGUUGGUGCUGGGUUCGAAUCCCAUCAGUUUC
Molecule: transfer RNA, 70 nt
Filed under: Culex quinquefasciatus (southern house mosquito)
Lineage: Eukaryota; Metazoa; Arthropoda; Insecta; Diptera; Culicidae
Description: tRNA-Lys
Source: RNAcentral